This 502-nucleotide ribosomal RNA is filed under the name uncultured bacterium. RNAcentral's name for it is "partial 16S ribosomal RNA". It matches the Rfam family "Bacterial small subunit ribosomal RNA", at positions 28 to 507 of the family's 1533-position model. The record is from RNAcentral.
GAUUAACGCUGGCGGCGUGCCUAACACAUGCAAGUCGAGCGGCAGCGAGUUUUACACUGACUUCUGGAAGCUUCUAGUUGAAAGAGAAGAUUUAUUCAAGAAUUUUGUGUAAAAUGUCGGCGAGCGGCGGACGGCUGAGUAACGCGUGGGAACGUACCCCAAAGUGAGGGAUAACGCAUCGAAAGGUGUGCUAAUACCGCAUAUGGUCUUCGGAUUAAAGCCUUCGGGCGCUUUGGGAACGGCCUGCGUAAGAUUAGAUAGUUGGUGGGGUAAUGGCCUACCAAGUCGACGAUCGUUAACUGGUUUGAGAGGAUGCUCAGUCAGACUGGAACUGAGACACAGUCCAGACUCCUACGGGAGGCAGCAGUGAGGAAUCUUCCACAAUGGGCGAAAGCCUGAUGGAGCAACGCCGCGUGCAGGAUGAAGGCCUUCGGGUUGUAAACUGCUUUUAUAAGUGAGGAUUAUGACAGUAACUUAUGAAUAAGGAUCGGCUAACUACGUG